AUUGAACGCUGGCGGCAUGCUUUACACAUGCAAGUCGAGCGGCAGCGCGGGGGGCAACCCUGGCGGCGAGCGGCGAACGGGUGAGUAAUGCAUCGGAACGUAUCCUGUAGUGGGGAAUAACUCACCGAAAGGUGAGCUAAUACCGCAUAAGCUCUGAGGAGGAAAGCGGGGGACCGAAAGGCCUCGCGCUGCAGGAGCGGCCGAUGUCCGAUUAGCUAGUUGGUGAGGUAAAGGCUCACCGAGGCGACGAUCUGUAGCGGGUCUGAGAGGAUGAUCCGCCACACUGGAACUGAGACACGGUCCAGACUCCUACGGGAGGCAGCAGUGGGGAAUUUUGGACAAUGGGCGCAAGCCUGAUCCAGCCAUGCCGCGUGAGUGAAGAAGGCC
Molecule: ribosomal RNA, 387 nt
Filed under: uncultured bacterium
Lineage: Bacteria
Description: bacterial SSU rRNA
Rfam family: Bacterial small subunit ribosomal RNA
Source: RNAcentral